RNAcentral lists this long non-coding RNA (469 nucleotides) under Vitis vinifera (wine grape). RNAcentral describes it as "long non-coding RNA (VVIN_LNC005079)". Lineage: Eukaryota; Viridiplantae; Streptophyta; Magnoliopsida; Vitales; Vitaceae. The record is from RNAcentral.
AGAAAAAGCUUGGCUGCUUCGUUUCUAAGUCUCAUCAAAUGGCAAAGGCUCCUCCAACUUUUGUGCUUCUCCUAUUCAUAGUUGCUUGUGGUAAAUCUCUUUCCAUCCCAUUUUUAAAAAGUAUAAAAUAGAAAAAUAUGACUUAGGGUUUAUUCUAAUCGUGAAUGAUGUUCAGCUGUUACAAUGGUGUACAUGGUGGAAGCUCAGAAGAUAUGUACUGAAAGUCUAGGGUUAUGUUCUGACCAGACGGAAUGCCAACAACUGUGUACAAAAAGCCAUGCUGGUGGUCAGGGAAACUGCAUGUUCGCGGGCGGUGUCAAAUUCUGCCAGUGUUCAUAUUUUUGUUAAGAGGUUUAUAAGCCAUUCAAUAUCAGAGAGGACUGAGGGGAGAAUAUUGAGAUUGAUUUUAGGCUUCUUUAAAUGUUUAGUGUGUCUCAUCUCUCAAAAAAAAUAAAUAAAUGCAGUUGGG